GAUGAACGCUGGCGGCGUGCCUAACACAUGCAAGUCGAACGAAGCUUGACGGAUGAUUUCUUCGGAAUGAAACCAGAUAUGACUUAGUGGCGGACGGGUGCGUCACACGUGAGCAACCUGCCUUUCAGAGGGGGAUAACGGCUGGAAACGGUCGCUAAUACCGCAUGAUGUGUUCGGCUGGCAUCAUCUGAACUGCGAAGGUUUAUCGCUGAAAGAUGGGCUCGCGUCUGAUUCGAUAGUGGGUGGGAUAACUGCCUACCAAGUCUAAGAGCAGUAGCCGGACGGAGAGGUAGCACGGCCACAUGGGGAACGAGAGACGGCAGAGACUCCUAGGGGAGGCAGGAGUGGGGAAUAUUGCACAAGGGGGGAAACCCUGAUGCAGCAACGCCGCGUGAAGGAUGACGGUUUUCGGAUUGUAAACUUCUUUUCUUAGUGACGAAGACAGUGACGGUAGCUAAAGAAUAAGCAUCGGCUAACUACGUG
Molecule: ribosomal RNA, 483 nt
Filed under: uncultured bacterium
Lineage: Bacteria
Description: partial 16S ribosomal RNA
Rfam family: Bacterial small subunit ribosomal RNA
Source: RNAcentral